Molecule: ribosomal RNA, 546 nt
Filed under: Triticum aestivum (bread wheat)
Lineage: Eukaryota; Viridiplantae; Streptophyta; Magnoliopsida; Poales; Poaceae
Description: partial small subunit ribosomal RNA
Source: RNAcentral
AUGUUCAAGAAGUUCUCUUCCGAGGACAUAUCCGGGCAGAAUCAGGUCAAGGCGUCUGUGCAGCGGAGGAUCCGGCAAAGCAUCGCCGAGGAGUACCCUCUCCUCGAACCAUUGCUGGAGGACAUGCUUCCGAAGAAGUCGCCGAUGAUUGUUGUUAAAUGCCAAAAUCAUCUCAAUCUUGUGGUGGUGAACAAUGUCCCACUCUUCUUCAACAUCCGCGAUGGUCCAUACAUGCCAACCCUGCGCCUUCUUCAUCAGUAUCCUAACAUCAUGAAGAAGUUCCAAGUGGACAGAGGUGCUAUCAAGUUUGUUCUCUCUGGUGCCAACAUAAUGUGCCCUGGACUCACAUCGCCUGGUGGUGUGUUGGACAAUGAAGUCGAGGAGGAAACGCCAGUGGCUAUAAUGGCUGAAGGCAAGCAACACGCAUUGGCGAUUGGAUUCACAAAGAUGUCAGCGAAAGACAUAAGCACCAUCAACAAAGGAAUUGGAGUUGACAACAUGCACUAUUUGAAUGAUGGCCUGUGGAAGAUGGAGCGGCUUGAGUAG